CUAAUACUAAAAAGCGGGAGAGUGAAAAUCUGAAUAUAUGAUGAAAUAACUAGUUCAAGUUUAUCUUUUUGAACUGUUACCUUUCAAGCGGGAGAGUGAAAAAAAAGGCGGUACCUUUUGAGGAAAGCCUGCUGCUAAAUACUAAAAUGUUAAAAAAAAUAAUUAUCUUUUUGAAAAGUCUCAUUUAGACUCUCAUUUAGUUUCCUUUGUAGCCUUCCAUUCGGUAAUCUGUCAAAGUCCCUUUCUCCUCCAAUCGACCAUCAUUCUUUCUCUCUUGGUAUCAAUCUCUCUACUUGGGCCUCCUGGAGUAAUAUACCCUUCAAUGGUGGCAUUGGAGGUAGUGACUGGAAGCUUGGUCGAAUUUGGUUUUGAGGAUAUGUAAACACAACUUUUUUAUUAGAGUUUAAAUUGCAAUUUAUUAAUUUGUUAGUUAUGCUUAGUUUUUGGUCCUGUAGUGUUGGUUGAUAAUUUUACAUAUUAGAUUUCUUUUACUCUUACAUUUGAUACUUAAAUGGUUGAAACCAAACUGGAGUAUUGUAAAUAAGGUUAAUCAUAUUACCACUGUCAAAUACACUUAAUUAAAUAGAUAAUAAUGUUCCUCUCUAAUUUUCUGUGACAUUACUGCAUAGAUUGCUGAUAUUUGAUUUAUAGGGAAUGCCUCGAUUUAAGACCCAACUAAAUGGAACUAAAUAAUGGAGCAAUAUAUAGUAGGCAUAAUUCAACAUGUUUUUUUGGACUCUUCAAGGUUCUUGGUAAGACAUCUUAGUUGCCUAUUAUGUUAGAGUGUGUUUACUCUUCUUAGUGGCUCUUUAGUUUUCUGUUAUGGUUGUUAUAAGUAGUUAAACUACUUUCUCAAUUGAUCUCUUGUAUAAAUACUCUCUUGUACAAAUUACUUGGUCAACAAUAAUACUUCUUCUUUCCAUAAA
Molecule: long non-coding RNA, 926 nt
Organism: Humulus lupulus (European hop)
Lineage: Eukaryota; Viridiplantae; Streptophyta; Magnoliopsida; Rosales; Cannabaceae
Exons: 2
Source: RefSeq, a predicted model, not a curated record